This is a long non-coding RNA of Heterocephalus glaber (naked mole-rat), 1502 nucleotides long. RefSeq lists it as uncharacterized. Lineage: Eukaryota; Metazoa; Chordata; Mammalia; Rodentia; Bathyergidae. The record is from RefSeq and is a predicted model, not a curated record.
CUUGCAUGUCCCAGUUCCCACCAGCCUUAUCAGUCAGCUCUUCUCAGAAUGUAUUGGAACCACAAAUUAUCAAGGACAUCCUGCCCUAUCUCCUUUUCUGUACUUCCCUUCUUAUGCCUUAAAUAAAGUGACCCACUGGCUGCAGCAGUCCGUCUUCUCCCCACCCAGUCCUGCUUUAGUUAUCUUUUGCUUUCUGCAUCUUCCACCACCUGACUCAGGCCCUGGACGCUUGCUGUGCAGGCUGUGGCAACUGGCAGCCAACAUGGCCUGAAUACUGGGAACUACCAUUUGACAGAGGAGAAGACAGCCCCGUUUGCGCACACUAAGGAGGGGAGGUCUGAAAUCCAAAACAAAGCCAGAGAAACUGCAACUGUGCUCUACCAGACAUAAAGAGUUUUUACAAGAGGGAUCAAGUUACAAAUUUUAGCUAAUGUUAUUGAUCUGCUCUUCCGGGUAUUCAACAACUAAAGUUUAGAGACCAGAACUAGAAAGGUAACUGGACUAAGAAGACAGCCAAUAUUUUGGCCCUGGCCUUUCAAGGUCUGCAAACAACCCAGGACAUGAAGAACCUUUGCUAAAGAUCCUACAACUUUGAAAAUAAAAAGAUGCUGUGGACAUCAUCAUCACAGAAUGUAUCACCAUAGACCAAGAUGAUGGAUUUGCUGCAAGCAGCAUGCUGUGACACCCCUGCUGAAGCCAUACAAAGACUGCACCUGAGUGACUCCCUUCACCUGAUACAGUCCUGAGAUCUACAAAGAUGACCAGACAUGAUGCAGCUGCCUUUUUCAAACAGAAAAGGGGGAGAUUCAUCGGGUCGAGCCUGAAGAUGGCCCUUUGCCUCCUCUCUGCUCUCUUUCUCUUCCCAACUCCCUUUCUGCUCCAUAAACUAGAUAGUCACUAAUGUGUCCUACCUUCUGGGAGGCCAUGGCUUCCAUGAUGUAGCUCCAAGUUCAUCCAACUUUUCCUUUCUAGGCAUGUCCCCUGGACUGCCUAUGUGCUUUGGACCUAGUACCUUUUGCUUAUCCAUAAAGCAGAUGUCUAACUUUGCACUUAUUCAAAACAUCACUGGCAGAACUCUUGAUGAAACAUUUCUCUAUCAUAGUGCUUCUAUGUCCAAAAGGAACGCCUCUUUUCCCUGCCCCUUGAGGCCUUGUCAUAAUAUUUUGUGCAGUCUUACAAAUCCCAUUUAUGUACCAUAGGAAGAUUGUUUUUGGCCUCUUCAAACAUUACCACAUUGCAACAGGCGGAGUUUGUAGACUGGUCACAUAGUAUUUACAACUUUUCAGGCUCUUACCCUAACCCAAGUUUAUUCAUAAACCUCACAUAUAGGCAGAGGGAUCUAUAGAGGCUCAUGGCUGCAUUGCAACUGCAAUUUGACCAAUUGUCUUACUACCUUGAAUGCAAACCACUCUACGAUGUUGUUGUACAGACCAUCAUUUCUCAUGGUUCCUACUAACCUCUCCGGACCCUGGUAUUAUGACCAGGGUCUCCAAGUGUUGAAA